Molecule: ribosomal RNA, 253 nt
Filed under: uncultured bacterium
Lineage: Bacteria
Description: partial 16S ribosomal RNA
Rfam family: Bacterial small subunit ribosomal RNA
Source: RNAcentral
GACAGAGGUGCCAAGCGUUAGGCGGAAUCACUGGGCUUAAAGCGUGUGUAGGCGGAUCGUUAAGUACCUUGUGAAAUCCCACGGCUCAACCGUGGGACUGCUGGGUAUACUGGCGAUCUUGAGCCACCUAGGGGCGAGCGGAACAAGCGGUGGAGCGGUGAAAUGCGUAGAUAUCGCUUGGAACGCCAACGGUGAAAACAGCUCGCUGGGGGUGUGCUGACGCUGAGACACGAAAGCCAGGGGAGCGAACGGG